CAACAGAAGUUUAUUUGCUCACAGUUCUGGAGGCUGGAAGUCCAAGAUCCAGGUGCUGGCAGGGUUGGUUUCGCCUGACUCCUCUCUCCUUGGCUUGUAUUCAGCUGACUGCUUGCUGUAUCUUCACUGGUCCU
Molecule: microRNA precursor, 134 nt
Filed under: Chlorocebus sabaeus (green monkey)
Lineage: Eukaryota; Metazoa; Chordata; Mammalia; Primates; Cercopithecidae
Description: miRNA (ENSCSAG00000021872.1)
Source: RNAcentral